This 1369-nucleotide ribosomal RNA is filed under the name uncultured bacterium. RNAcentral describes it as "bacterial SSU rRNA". It matches the Rfam family "Bacterial small subunit ribosomal RNA", at positions 28 to 1381 of the family's 1533-position model. The record is from RNAcentral.
GACGAACGCUGGCGGCGUGCCUAAUACAUGCAAGUAGAACGCUGAAGAGAGGAGCUUGCUCUUCUUGGAUGAGUUGCGAACGGGUGAGUAACGCGUAGGUAACCUGCCUUGUAGCGGGGGAUAACUAUUGGAAACGAUAGCUAAUACCGCAUAACAAUGGAUGACACAUGUCAUUUAUUUGAAAGGGGCAAUUGCUCCACUACAAGAUGGACCUGCGUUGUAUUAGCUAGUAGGUGAGGUAACGGCUCACCUAGGCGACGAUACAUAGCCGACCUGAGAGGGUGAUCGGCCACACUGGGACUGAGACACGGCCCAGACUCCUACGGGAGGCAGCAGUAGGGAAUCUUCGGCAAUGGGGGCAACCCUGACCGAGCAACGCCGCGUGAGUGAAGAAGGUUUUCGGAUCGUAAAGCUCUGUUGUAAGUCAAGAACGAGUGUGAGAGUGGAAAGUUCACACUGUGACGGUAGCUUACCAGAAAGGGACGGCUAACUACGUGCCAGCAGCCGCGGUAAUACGUAGGUCCCGAGCGUUGUCCGGAUUUAUUGGGCGUAAAGCGAGCGCAGGCGGUUUGAUAAGUCUGAAGUUAAAGGCUGUGGCUCAACCAUAGUUCGCUUUGGAAACUGUCAAACUUGAGUGCAGAAGGGGAGAGUGGAAUUCCAUGUGUAGCGGUGAAAUGCGUAGAUAUAUGGAGGAACACCGGUGGCGAAAGCGGCUCUCUGGUCUGUAACUGACGCUGAGGCUCGAAAGCGUGGGGAGCGAACAGGAUUAGAUACCCUGGUAGUCCACGCCGUAAACGAUGAGUGCUAGGUGUUGGAUCCUUUCCGGGAUUCAGUGCCGCAGCUAACGCAUUAAGCACUCCGCCUGGGGAGUACGACCGCAAGGUUGAAACUCAAAGGAAUUGACGGGGGCCCGCACAAGCGGUGGAGCAUGUGGUUUAAUUCGAAGCAACGCGAAGAACCUUACCAGGUCUUGACAUCCCGAUGCUAUUUCUAGAGAUAGAAAGUUACUUCGGUACAUCGGUGACAGGUGGUGCAUGGUUGUCGUCAGCUCGUGUCGUGAGAUGUUGGGUUAAGUCCCGCAACGAGCGCAACCCCUAUUGUUAGUUGCCAUCAUUCAGUUGGGCACUCUAGCGAGACUGCUGGUAAUAAACCGGAGGAAGGUGGGGAUGACGUCAAAUCAUCAUGCCCCUUAUGACCUGGGCUACACACGUGCUACAAUGGUUGGUACAACGAGUUGCGAGUCGGUGACGGCAAGCUAAUCUCUUAAAGCCAAUCUCAGUUCGGAUUGUAGGCUGCAACUCGCCUACAUGAAGUCGGAAUCGCUAGUAAUCGCGGAUCAGCACGCCGCGGUGAAUACGUUCCCGGGCCU